AGAGUUUGAUCAUGGCUCAGGACGAACGCUGGCGGCGUGCUUAACACAUGCAAGUCGAGCGGUAAGGCCCUUCGGGGUACACGAGCGGCGAACGGGUGAGUAACACGUGGGUGACCUGCCCUUAGCUCUGGGAUAAGCCUGGGAAACUGGGUCUAAUACUGGAUAUGACCUCGCGGCGCAUGUUGUGGGGUGGAAAGCUUUGGCGGCUAGGGAUGGGCCCGCGGCCUAUCAGCUUGUUGGUGGGGUGAUGGCCUACCAAGGCGACGACGGGUAGCCGGCCUGAGAGGGCGACCGGCCACACUGGGACUGAGACACGGCCCAGACUCCUACGGGAGGCAGCAGUGGGGAAUCUUGCGCAAUGGGCGAAAGCCUGACGCAGCGACGCCGCGUGAGGGAUGACGGCCUUCGGGUUGUAAACCUCUUUCAGCCCUGACGAAGCGAAAGUGACGGUAGGGGCAGAAGAAGCACCGGCCAACUACGUGCCAGCAGCCGCGGUAAUACGUAGGGUGCAAGCGUUGUCCGGAAUUAUUGGGCGUAAAGAGCUCGUAGGCGGUCUGUCGCGUCGGCUGUGAAAACUCGGGGCUCAACUCCGAGCUUGCAGUCGAUACGGGCAGGCUAGAGUUCGGCAGGGGAGACUGGAAUUCCUGGUGUAGCGGUGAAAUGCGCAGAUAUCAGGAGGAACACCGGUGGCGAAGGCGGGUCUCUGGGCCGAUACUGACGCUGAGGAGCGAAAGCGUGGGGAGCGAACAGGAUUAGAUACCCCCGUAGUCC
Molecule: ribosomal RNA, 771 nt
Filed under: uncultured bacterium
Lineage: Bacteria
Description: bacterial SSU rRNA
Rfam family: Bacterial small subunit ribosomal RNA
Source: RNAcentral